Dicentrarchus labrax (European seabass) is the source of this 373-nucleotide long non-coding RNA. RefSeq lists it as uncharacterized. The record is from RefSeq and is a predicted model, not a curated record. The transcript has 3 exons. NCBI's taxonomy places the organism in Eukaryota, Metazoa, Chordata, Actinopteri, Moronidae.
GCUUUUAUUUUGUCAGUGUUCCCGGAAGCUGUGUGCGUGCUGCGCUGCGGCCGUUGACCUGGUUUCCGCCGCUGUGACGGACACAAACGCUCCGCGGAGGGAUUUCACGGAAGAUGCUGAAGAAACGGGAGCUGCUGAAGAUUCCCAUAAUCAGAGUCCUGGAGCCAACUAGAAUGAAAUCUGGGAGAUCGAUCCUGUGUCGGGUCCAGUACACAGUGGACAUCACCAGCAGUUAUGUGUUGGCCAGGGUAGGAUGAUUGGUAAAAGGAGGGAUCAUCCCCAUUAGGAUCUGGGUGGAUAUUAUGGUAUGUAUGACAUAUCUCCCUGAUGGGUCUAUAUAUUUGUUUUUUAACUGAAAGGGGGGCAGAUUUAU